Molecule: unclassified non-coding RNA, 289 nt
Filed under: Hevea brasiliensis (rubber tree)
Lineage: Eukaryota; Viridiplantae; Streptophyta; Magnoliopsida; Malpighiales; Euphorbiaceae
Source: RNAcentral
CCCACCACAAACUAGCUGUUCUCUGGAAUAAUCAAAAACUCGUAAAUAACCAUCUCUUCCAACAGUUGCUAAGUAUGCCCCAUCCAUUGAGAACGUGAUGCUAUUGAUUGAACCUUGGCAAAUAUGCCAUCUGGCAAUAGGAUUACUCUUACUAUAACGCGCAUGUGCAACAGAAAAUAGAGUUGGAUCUUUGAUAAUGGGGAAUGAAGAAUCACCUGCACCAUCCUUGCUCUUCUCAUACACGUACACAUUCCCAUCGACAUGAGCAACAACAAAAGCACCAUCACCU